RNAcentral lists this ribosomal RNA (472 nucleotides) under uncultured bacterium. RNAcentral's name for it is "bacterial SSU rRNA". It matches the Rfam family "Bacterial small subunit ribosomal RNA", at positions 355 to 825 of the family's 1533-position model. The record is from RNAcentral.
UGGGGAAUUUUGGACAAUGGGGGCAACCCUGAUCCAGCAAUGCCGCGUGAGUGAAGAAGGCCUUCGGGUUGUAAAGCUCUUUUGUCAGGGAAGAAACGGUAGUAGCGAAUAACUAUUACUAAUGACGGUACCUGAAGAAUAAGCACCGGCUAACUACGUGCCAGCAGCCGCGGUAAUACGUAGGGUGCAAGCGUUAAUCGGAAUUACUGGGCGUAAAGCGUGCGCAGGCGGUUGUGUAAGUCAGAUGUGAAAUCCCCGUGCUCAACCUGGGAAUUGCAUUUGAGACUGCACGGCUAGAGUGUGUCAGAGGGGGGUAGAAUUCCACGUGUAGCAGUGAAAUGCGUAGAUAUGUGGAGGAAUACCGAUGGCGAAGGCAGCCCCCUGGGAUAACACUGACGCUCAUGCACGAAAGCGUGGGGAGCAAACAGGAUUAGAUACCCACGUAGUCCCUGAGCGGGCUGGCAAGGCGCAU